UACGUAGGGACCGAGCGUUGUCCGGAAUCAUUGGGCGUAAAGAGCGUGUAGGCGGCUAUUUAAGUCCUGCGUGAAAUCCUGCGGCUCAACCGCAGACGGUCGUGGGAAACUGGAUGGCUAGAGUGCGGGAGAGGAGAGUGGAAUUCCCGGUGUAGCGGUGAAAUGCGCAGUUAUCGGGAAGAACACCCGUGGCGAAGGCGGCUCUCUGGAACGCAACUGACGCUGAGACGCGAAAGCGUGGGGAGCAAACAGG
This 253-nucleotide ribosomal RNA is filed under the name uncultured bacterium. RNAcentral's name for it is "partial 16S ribosomal RNA". It matches the Rfam family "Bacterial small subunit ribosomal RNA", at positions 524 to 776 of the family's 1533-position model. The record is from RNAcentral.